GAUGGUAAGAAGAAUUUAGCUCAGGAAGUUCAUCAGCUUUCCCGAUUGGGUGUUCGCUUAGUUGAUUCAGCAGAAGGUAAUGUAUGGGUGCAGAGUAGUUCAGAAUCAUCUCUAGUUUCCGAGGUGAAGGAAAAGCAGUAUAGGGAUCCCAGCCUAGUUAAGUUGAAAUAAUUGGUCAGAGAUCAGAAUAUAGAGAUUUUCUCCCUAAGGGG
RNAcentral lists this long non-coding RNA (212 nucleotides) under Capsicum annuum. RNAcentral's name for it is "long non-coding RNA (CANN_LNC013830)". Lineage: Eukaryota; Viridiplantae; Streptophyta; Magnoliopsida; Solanales; Solanaceae. The record is from RNAcentral.